RNAcentral lists this long non-coding RNA (25689 nucleotides) under Gossypium barbadense (sea-island cotton). RNAcentral describes it as "long non-coding RNA (GBAR_LNC005656)". The record is from RNAcentral. Lineage: Eukaryota; Viridiplantae; Streptophyta; Magnoliopsida; Malvales; Malvaceae.
UCCUCCAUCUCACGUUUUCCGUUCCUAUCCGCCGGCGAAACUGGUGAAGUUUUUACCGUUGUGUCCAUGGAAACCGGUAAAGAAGAUACAGCCGUCUUCCUGGAUCGUGCUUCUCGAUCAACCAGAGGGAGAAGGUGAAUCUUCAACCUAAAUUAAGAUAGGAUUCCUAUCAUUUAAUACGGUUCUUUUUUUUUUUUCAAAAAAAAUUUUCUGGAAAUAAUUAAUAUGCAAACCCUAUUAUUUUCUAUUUCCAGGAUGACGAAGUUGCUGGACGAGGAAGUUGAAGAGGACGAGAUGUUUUGGAAUCAAGAAGCUUUUAAAGAGGUUCAAGCACACACUUAUUCUAGUGAAAAUACUCUCACCAUAUUCUUAGACUAUAGAAUUGAUGUUGAUGUAUUGGAAUACGGGUGAUUUGAUGUUACCUUAAAUUCGUACAAACUCUGAAACUAAGAGUUUAUUUAGAGCGACAAUAUUGGGAGUAGCUAGAAAUUAUGAUCACUACUUAGUUUAUUAGUUUUAGGUUUUGAUUAAAGGAUUCAACGACAUUAACCCUUUUUUCUGUUUGUGGUUCUCUCCUUAGGAGGAGAAUGAUGCCAAUUACGAAGAAGAGCCAGAGGCUGCUGAUGUGUUUGAUAGUGACUUCGAUGAAGAUGUUUGUAUUGCUCUCUUCUCUACUUUUGAUUUAAUUCUUUUUUUAUAAUUACUCUUCCGUUGCAGGAUAUCUUUCUUAGUGCUAAGAAAACUUCACACCUUUGGUAUCUUGAAAAUUGACUCUCUUCUAUGGCUUGGCUGCUAGGAACCUGAGCCAGAUGAGGAAGUAGAAGACGAAGCAGAUGAAAGGUUUAGCUUCUUUUACCUUUGUUGUAUUGUAUUUACAUCUCCAUUUUGUUGCCCUUAUUUUUAUAUUGAAUUGCCCUAGCAGGGUUCGCACAAAGAAGCGUCUGAUAUUUCCUGGAAAGCCUUCUUUGAAGAAAAAGAAGAAAAAGAAAGUUCAUUCAAAUUUAGAUGGCGAUUCCAAGGAUGAAAAUCUUACUCAAAAGACUUCCUCUACACAGCAUCAUGAUGCCCCUGAUGAUGCAGAAGGUGAAAGAAUUAUAAGGAAAUCUACAAGAACUUCAGUCAUUGUUAGGCAAGCUGAGCGAGAUGCGAUACGUGCUGCUCUGCAGGCAACAAUGAAGGCAAGUUUUUUGGUUAUUUUUUUUUCUUCUUUUAUAGGAAAAUAUUUCUACUAUACAUUGUUAUCUCAAAAAUGGGAAAAUAAAACUGAUCAUGGUAUUGGUUACUGCAUUUAUCUUUUCUAACUGAUAUUUAUAUAUGUGUAUAAAUAUAUAUUCUUUUGUAUAUUGAUGAGAUCUAGUUUAAACUUAAGCAAAAUAAUACAAGAAGUGUUUUCAUAACGACUGCUUUGAGUAUUAUACCAUUUGAUGUUCGUUCUUGACUCUACUCUUGUUCUUGAAACUUUAAUUUCACCGGUGAGAGACUUGGGUAUAUGUUGGAGGGAGCUUUGGGGGGAUGGUUGUCUCAAAGUGCCCUAGUAUUUCCUAGAUUCCUGAUGUGUGAAUUGAUGUCUUUUUACAAGUAAAUGAUAUUCCUCCCUUACUUUGAAAAAGGAAAAGAAGGAAGAUAAAAGAAAGGAAAACUGUAAAUCAAACCGAACGGGAAUCCCAAUCUUUCUGAGGAAAUUAUUCCCGCAUUUUGUCUUGGCUCCUCCAAGAAAAAAAAAAUAAAAAAUGGAUGGACGUAUAGUUUUUUGGCCACUAAGCUGAAAAGGAUUAGUUUCAUUGCACUUCAUUCUGCUUCUCUUGCAUGUAGCUGUAGAUUUGGAUAUGGAUGAAAAUUUCAAGUUUAGGCAAAAAUCAUGUGAAUUGCACAAUUUAUAAAAAUUGUUAAGUUACUGGAACAAUUUGCUCUCCCCCUUAUUUGGUAAUAUUUGAUAAGUGUAAUCAAUGCCCUAGAUUAAGUUCAUUGCAAGUGACAAAUUUAUAAUUUCUAGGAGACUUGUACUUAUAGUGCCAUUUGCCUUAUCAUUUUAUUUAUUUACUUUUUAAAAUUAUAAUAAGGAGCAAUGGGAUCUUAUAUCGUGCUGUGUAAUUCGGUUUAAUCUUAUUAGUAUUGAAAUUUUAUUACUAGAAACUUUCAGAUAAUUAUCUCAGAAAGCAUUAACCUUUGGUUUUGAUGAUUUGUUUGUAAACUUGAUCGAAUUAAUGCCUUAGUGAGCGGAAUAGUAAUCUGACAGUGUUGAGGGUUUAAAUCUUUAGUAUGGUUGUUAAUUUGUAUCAUUCUAUGUUAGAGUUACAAUUGAUUGUAUCAUUGUAUGUUCAAGUUACUAUAAUUAAUUUGUUUGCAUAAUUUCAUUAUUGUUAAAAUUAGUGAUAGGUUGGAGCUAAUAUCUAAAUUCUAUUAAUACUAUUUAAAUAAUAUUAAUAGAUAUUCAAAGUGUAGGUUCUAAAUAAUGGUGUUUGAUUUGUGAAUUUAGUUAGGUUGACACCGUAAAAUUAAGUCUUUCCAUUAAAGUAUUUUGUCCUCUAGAAAAAUAAAAGAAAUUUAUUACUCAUCUUCAUAUGGAAUGGUAUUUGUAUCCUUAAGUUUUGAUGAAAUUGUAAAAGGUUUCUCUAUAUUUUUUUUUAUCAUGUUGUCCUCACCUUUAAGCCUUAUGAAUUUGGGCAUAAAUCUUUAUGCCUCUAGCGUCAUUUCCCAUGAAGAAAUUAGGUUCUUGUUGUUUGUGACCCUCCCCAUUCCCACCUGCGCUGUUUUUUUAGUCUUUGAUCAUCUUGCUUAGGUGGUAGAUGUGAUUUCUUUAACCUAUUUGAUGUUGGAUAUGAUUUAAUAUGGGUGUUCUUUUUCUGCAAAUUUUGAUCCAAGUAGUUUCAAGGUUAAUCACUUUGCUAAAGAAUCAGUAUUAAUUCCAUGAAGACUAUGUCUAAUUAAUAUUUCACAAUGACCUCAGAUUUAACAACAUAAUCGCACUCAUGCAUACAAAGUUUUAAAUCCAUCCGAUAUUUCUAUCACAUCCGUUGAGAAUAUUGUCUUUUUAUAUAUAUAUAUGAUGGUUUGAAAUUUUUUAUAUCAAAUGAUGUUAAGACAUUUUUAAUUACUUGGAAAUUUGAUGGGCAUGAUCUGCUUGAAUAAAUUUUCUUGAAGUACCCAUGUCCGGCACUUGUGUCCAACAUGUGGAUAUGGAGAUAUUACCUCUAAAGAUCCUCCGAAUACAUGGGUAACCUUAGAAAAGGCUUAACCAUAUCGGAUACCCUGUAUCCAACACUCACACCCAAGUCCGAGUAACAUAGGUAUGAAACAUGAUGGUUGGAUUAAGCAGAUAUAUAUCUUCGUGUAUGUGCUACAUCAGCACCAUACUGACUUUGUAGCUCUAUUCACAUGUUUUCUGUUGCCUUAGACUUUGUCAUGCUACUUUUAGCAACAGAGUGCAACUUAAUUAUCUAUGAAGUGUCACGAAGGUAAUUGCUUCUAAACAGGCUGAUGUGGCACUUACACUAUUUUAAUUUUUUAUCUUCAGCUGUUUUAAUUUCCUUCCAAAUAUCAUGCACCUGUCCAAGGGGUUGCUCGGGGAAAACUUAUUGGCUACAAUAUUGGUAUCUUAGUUUAAGUUUAGAUUAUUAUACAUAGAAUUUCCUAAUAAAGAUAUCAAGAAUUUCACACUAUACUUUAUGCACAAAUCUGAGUGUUGGUUAUCUCAUUGAGCAUUGAAAUGCAUAACUAUUUAUAGUCACUUGCUCUUGUUUUCCCCUCCAUUUGAGGUUUGCAUUUUUUUUGAGACUAUAAUGUAGAUAGAAGCAAUAAAAACACAAUCACUGUCUUUUACUGAAACUUCUGUAAUCCUUUGGUUGAAACUUAUGAACUAUUCAGAGAUGUGAAACUGUCAAGUUGUGUACGGUCAGAAUUUGAUGUAUGUAUAUCAAAUUCGUUAAGAAAGUUCAUGCCAACAUUCUGUUCAUAUUUGAUGGGAAUAUUCUCAUGACUCACUAUUUAUGUAUGGAUACUGUCAAAUGUAUGAUUUGUAAUUUCAUAUAUCCGUAUUGCUUGUGCAUGUCUGUCUGUGUGUGUAUUGUUUGAUUGUAUAAUUUGGAAAGAGUGAAAAUGUAGCUAUGCCAUGUGAUUAUUUAUGAGGUAUUUUUUAAUCACCAGCCAAUAAAAAGGAAAAAAGAAGGUGAAGAGAAGAGGAUGACUCAAGAAGAAAUGCUUUUAGAAGCAGCACAAACAGGUUCAGGCUGAAAGUUACCUUUGAUGUUUGGAUUUCUUAGGUUCUUAUUUGAUUUUAACUUGAAUUUAUUAAUUUUAAUUUUGCAGAAAUUAUGAACUUGAGAAAUUUAGAGCGUGUUUUGGCAAGGGAGGAAGAAGUUAAGAAACGAGCAAUAAUCCACAAGGCUGUUUAUAGUGGUCCGCAGAUUAAAUAUGUGUCAAAAGAUGGCAAGAUUCUCUUCAUAGCUGUUGAUUCUAGUUCUUAAAUGCAACAAUAAUAAAUACAUGAUUGUUGAUUAUUUGGAGUCUGUUAAUUGAAAUUAUCUAUACAAAUCCAUGCAAUCUUUUGCAGGUUCUUCAUAUCUAGAAUUUAGUAAAGGAUUGACAUUUCACUCAGAGCUCUCAACCACACCGCUUCCAUGUAAGCUGUAGGGUCGAUUAACAAAAUUUAUGAUGUAGAUUCUUAAAAAAUUUCUUCUUAUCAAACUGAUACUUUUUUGUCAAUCAAUGGCUUUGUUCUCUUCUGGCUUUUAUCUCAUUUUAGUUCCCUUGGAUGUCAUUUUAGCUCAAGCAUUCAACAAACACAACCUGUUGAAGUUGGGGCCAAUCAUUUUGUGGAACUAGUUGUCAUAUUUUUCUUUCAUAUAGGGACAUUAGUUUAGAUCUCCACCGUUGCUAGAAGUUCUGGAAAUUUUGCUUUUAGCCUAGAGCUUAGAUCAUUGGGGUUUUGCAUAGGGGUUUUAAAUUAGCAUCACUCAUUUUUUCAUCCCACCAUGUGAGAUAAUGAUGUUGCUGCAAGCAAAAACAAGGAGCUCGGGGAUAUCAUAUGUAAUGGUGUGAUUUGUAUUUUCAUGAUGAAUGUCUUUGGUAUUAAAUAUUAUUGCUGGCUUUUGUUACCAUUAGAGUUGAUGUAUCUGUAAAUUUCUAGUGGCUGAAAAUGCUGUGUAAAUCACAAUAAAGUUAUCCAAUUCUUAGGCUUAUAGAAAUUGACUUCAACAGAUUUCUUGAAAAAGAAGUGCAAAAUCCAAAUUGGAAUUAGUUAAAAUAUUUAUCAUGUUUUUCAGAAUGAAAAUAAAAAGGGGCUCCACAAGUGGUGUAGAUAAUGAAACGCAAUUAGUUCAUACCCUGAUUUUAGUGAUAAAAAUAGAAACUUGUACCCAUCAGAAAAACUCUCACCCAUGAACCCAGAGGGUGUGAUGCAGAGAAUACUAGAAGCUAAUUAUGGGAUUAAAUGUACUAUUUUAUAGGUGUAGGGUUAUACUUAGUAUUUUACAUUUAAUUAGGGUUUAACAUCCUGUUUUUUUCCGUGCCCUUUUAGAUUUUGUUUUCAAGUCAAGUUUGUUUUCCUGUUUUCUUGAGUUUCAAGUCAAGUUUAUUGCUUUCUGUUCUCCGAGAUUUCAAAUUAAGCUAGUUAGCUUAGUGUCCAAAUUAUGGGUCUAUAUAAAUUAAUGUACUCUUCUAUGGAUGGAAUAGACUUGCAUAAAAUUUUAGCUUAUUGUUUGUGGUUAUGUGAUAAAAUCUUCCUUGGAUGUAAACUCCAAAGGACCCCUGGGUGUCUUAGGUUUUCUUUGUUCUCGGUUUGUGUGAUGCGAUCAAAGAACCAUAGGCUUGAACUUUAAGGAUCUUUUCUCUUUUCUUUACCAAAAUUCUGUUUUCUGAAGAAACUCACAUUAUAUUUAACUUUAAACCUUAGCCCCUAAACUAUCCUGCACCAGUUAGUAUUAGAGCCUAAAGAUUUAAAAUUUUUGAUGUGAUUCUGGGUGCUAAUGGUGAAGAAUGCAAAACUGGAAUCGAACUUUGAGGAUUUCCAACAAGAUCCUGAAGAAGCCAAGAUGGUUUUACUAGAAAAGAUAGAUGCACAAAAAGAAAGAAUUUUGUCCAAGGUGGCAGAAUUGUUCAAAAUUUUUUCUGUCCGAGGCAAACAACUAGGAUUUUAAUUUCAAUUAUGAUUUAGUAUCUUAGUGUUGUUUUGCUAACAUUAUUAGGUUUUAUUUCCAAGUCAAGUUUGCUUUUCCUUUAUCUUGAGUUUCCAGUUACUUAUGUUGUUUUCUAUUUUCUUGAGCUUCAAGCUAAGCUUGUUUGCUUAGAUAGAGUCCAAGUAAGGGUGUACAAAAAUUGAUGUAUUCUAUUGAGGGAAUAGACAUUUUAAAAGUUUUCUGCUUAUUGCUUUUGUGUUGUGUGAUACAAUCAUCCUCGGAGUAUGAUUCCUGAAGAACCCCAGGUUUGAUACUUGGGUUUUCUUCUUCUUGAUUGUGUGAUGCUUAAGGAACCAUAAGCAUGAUGGUUAGGGAUCUAUCUAGUUUCUUUUUCAUUCUUUCUCUCAAGAUAUUUGGAUUAUCGUUGAACUUCAAACCUUAGACCCAAAGCUGUCUUGUAUCAGGAUGACUAAGGAGAGAACUUUCUGUUACAUGAUUUUCUAAAUAUGUGCAUAAUAUUUAUCAUUUAACAGUAUAGUGUGGAUGAUUCUCUAAUAUUUGUUAUUAUUAUUAUUAUUUUUUGAUUCUGGCCUUUUUGUUUAACUACCAUUAGUUCUUUGCUCUAUUGAUAUCCUUUUGAUUCAUUUAUUUGUUUAAAUUAUCUUUACAUCCAGACCCAGAAAAGGCUAUGUGUGCUGUCACUGGAUUGCCGGCGAGGUAAGAGCUUAUUUUCAUAAUGGUUAUUUGAAGAAACUUGAAAGAAUUAUUCUUAUUCUUUCUUAAUAAUUCAACUUACAUAUAUAUGGGAGUGGUUGCUGUUAAUAGUAAAUAAAAAACUAGGGCAUAAUGGAGGAAAAUCCUCCACUAGGAAAAAGAAAUAAAGAAGAGAUUUGGCAUAUAUUAUCAGAUUCUCUUUUAUUAUAGCAUACCGGAAAUAAGAAAAUAAAAUAUAGGAAAGCCCCUACAGUACCUCCCUAAAUAAAAUCCUAAAAUAUCUCCCUAUAAUCUCUAAUUGAUUAUAGAUGCUAAUUUCAAAUUAUUGCUUGAUCUUUCAUUCCAAAGUCUUGCUGCUGAAUAAAUUGUUGUCAUUGCAGUAUUUGGAACCAAAUGGUGAUUUCUUACAGUUGUACUGGAAGCACAUAAAAAUUUCUUUUGCAGCGUUUUUUUCCAUGUUGUAAAGCAUUAGUGGAAUGUUUUGCCUUGCUUUUAUCUUUCUUGAGUUUUAUUUGGACUGUUGGCACUACUGUUAUGCUCCCAGUCAUGAUCAAUUAGCUUUCAAUAGCUUCCAAAUGUAUGUUAGAAAUGUCAUUAGUUUGGGAAAUACAAAAGUGAAAGCCAUGAAUUAGAGAUAUGCUUCUCUUGAGCUGGGAAUUUCAUCAAAGUUGUUACUAUAUCAUGUUUAUGAUUUGGUAGAAAUGUUAAUUCUGUGAUACUUAAACAUUUUAAGAGAGACAAAUUUGGCUUUCUCCAUCCACCCUUAUUUGUUCAAAUUGUGGUUCGAUGUUGUAGGUACCGAGAUCCAAAGACUGGGCUAUGCUAUGCAACAAAGGAAGCCUUUAAAAUUAUUCGAGAACGGUAUGUCUCUAUUCAGUUUUAUCGGUCUCUUUUCUGAUAUAUCACCUUGAGUUAUUCAUUUUCUAUAGUUUACAUGUAUUAUAUGUUACUUGGACUUGGAUGUGAUCGUUAGACAGAGUUGUGUUUGAAAUGAGUAUGUUUAAUUUUUGUAUGUUUGAGGAUCCUUGGAGGGUCCUAUCCUGGCAUCCAUGCUCGUAAAUGUGUUGGACAUAGGUACUUAAAGAAAAAUGACGACUUGUAGCAACAGAGCAUUUAUUUAUAGUUAGCAGAGGUGCUCCUCUGUCAACCAGUUUAAGUCUUCAGCAAUUUCUGAUAUGCUCCCCUAAAUAUACCAACCAAAAGGGAAAUCAUAACUUUUUUUUUAAAAAAAAGAGGGAAGGUGGGAGGGGAGUGGUUAAUCUUAAUUUCUUGCUGAGUUUGUUUUUCCUGAUUUUGUAGUUUUCGAGAUGAACAUAAAAGUGCUCCCAAGAAAAUGGAUAUGGGGGUCUUGCUUGAUUCUCUGUCUGGUCACGGUUUAAUGCCCAGGCGGAAGAGGUCUCACGUAUCAAAUAGAAGUCAAACAUCACGCUUCCAGUACUUGGGGAAUUUCCGCAGAACACCACCUGAUGAUGAUGAAAGUUCAGAUUAGUUGAUAUGGUAAUUUUCUAAAAUUUUCAGCGUAGAUUGCGUUUAUUUCAAGAAGUGUGUUUUUGUUGGCUUUAUCUAUUCUAUUGCAAAGCCUCUGUAUGAUUGGAUAUUUGACAAGCUAGAUCACUUUUCUGUUUCUGGACCACAAAAUCUGUUUAAAGUAAACAAAGGGGAAAAGCAUAAAUUGAGUCAAUUCUUUGAACCGACUUUGUAAUUGCUAACGCUAUCAGGAAGCACCUAUCUUGUUGGCAAUAAUUUUGUCUUGUUUUAAAUCAUGAGCAACCACUCGCUCUAGAAGGUGUGGUCAAGUUAGAUACAGUUUCAAACUCCAUCUUGAAUAUAGUUAUUUUGAUAAAGAUAACCAAAUAUAUGUAAUUGUAGGUUCCUUUAUCUUUUGAAAUGAUUAUCCUGGAUAUGUAAAUGCGUAUGAUGUCACAAUUGUCCCUUGUCAGCAUGCAGUUCUUUCAAAGAAGUUUGUUAAAAGAUUGUUGUGCUUUAUUUAUAAAAAAUGCAGUUUCUGCAUUCUUUUAUUUCUGGGUACACCUUUUAGCUGUUUUAUGAUUUUGUUUGAUUGUUAACAAUAUUGUGAAAGCUCAGUUAUUUUAGGACAUUUUCUGCUGUGUGUGUAUGUGAUUUUGUUUGGGGUUGGUUGCUAUAUUGAUGUUGAGUGAUGAAACUGUUGAUAGGUUAAUUUGAGAUGUAUUUGGAAAUUAAGAAAGUUGAAUGUAAAGAUCAAACAAGAACAAAAGAGGAACAUUGUUUGUCAUCCAUAAUAGAUGAUGUUCUAACCAAUGUGAAACACCUAAUUUUAGGUUUUCAGUUGACUUGUUAAUUUGAAAACUGCAUCAUGAAAGCAUUAAACAUGUAUUUGAUAUCCCUACUACUCUCAAAUGUUCAGAUUGCUAUUGAAGUUUAAAAUGUGCAAUGUACUCAAAUUUUGCUUAUGUUAACUGGAUUGCACAUUCAACUUACUACAAUAGUAGAAAGCAUGUGGAAUUGCCAUGUCAUCACCCCAUGAUCACCACGUCCUCGUGUGGGAUUGAAUGCUGGGACCAUCAUAAUUUGUCUAAUUCGAUUAGGUGAAUGGAUGUUUUAUUUAUAAAAACACUCGGUUGUUUUGAAAUAUAUGAACCAUACAAGCUUUUGUAACCAGAUAUAAGAGAAACUUCAAGUGAAGAUUGUAUGAAGAUGUUUCUAACAUACUGUGGAUGAUAUUGAAUCAUGGGAAGCAGGGUGUGUUCCAAGAAACACUUUAUGGUGAUUUGUUCUAGACUUGGAGUUAUUCUGAGUGAGCUUGGUUUCAAGGUUCGAGCCUUUAUCUAGGGAUUCUUUCAUGUUUAUUGAUUUAUAUUCUCCUAUUGUGAUCUGCAUGCAAUGCACAUUACUGUAACCUAGUUUCUUGCUCUUACAUUUAUUGAAGAAUUUCAGUUAAAUGUUCAUCUUCCAAUUUCUGACAUGGCUGCACUUUUUCUCGCCAGAUUGCAAGGAGUCAUGGCUACUGGCCUCGGGAGUAUUUACAGCUAGAGUGAGACUUAAAAUUGUGUGGUAGGUUUCCCAAUGUUUCAAAAUAUUCAAAUAUAUGUAGAUGUUCCAGGGAUAAUUUAACAUUAUUAAAGUAGGUAGAUAGGAGUGUAAGCUAUAUAUGCAGAUUAAAAACCACUUUUGGCGAUGAAAUGCUUCAGCUAAAAAACUCCUUAGUUAAUUAAAUUAGAGCAUUGUUCUUACCCCCGAAAAAACAGAGAAUCAUUCUUGCUUUACCUUGCUUGGUCAUUUUGAAUAUGCUGCUGUUGUCAGUUUUGGUAAUUUAGCUUACGUUCAGCUUGUUUUAGUUCAGCCGAGCUUCACUUUUCAUGCUCUUUCACAUCCUUCUCCGCUUGAAUAGAGGUACUUUAAAUUGUAAUAUAGACACCAAGUACCAUUUACUCACACACAUACGUAGAAAAAAAUGAUUAUUCAAAUUUGACUACGGCUUGAGGAGUUUAAGCUCUGCUAGAUAACGAAUGAUUCAAUGGAAGGCAAUUUAGUAAUAGGUAAUUUUUUUUUUUAGUUUUCUUAUUUCAGGUGUGUUGGAUGUGAAAUAUAUGCAUUUAAUUAUCUUUAUUUUAAUAAAUGUUAUUAUAUUCUAUAAUUAAUAUAAGUAAUUAUUAUCUUUAUAUUCUAUAAUUAAUAUAAGUAAUUAUCAAAAGAUAAGUCAAAUAUAUAAAAUAUUAAAAAAAUUAUUUGUAUAAAAAGUUUAAAAGAUUAAUAUGUUGCAACUUUAGAUAUACUUCUAAUAUCUGUCAUAAAAAUAUUUAUGAUGGUUAUGAAAAAAAUAUUUAUUUUAAUGUUACAAGUGAUUUAAUAUUUUGCUUUAGUUGAAUUAUAUUUUAAAGUAUUUUUUAACAUGUUGUUUUAAUUAAAAAUAUACUUAUAAUUAUUUUUUAGCUUAAACAAUAUAUCAAUAUUCAAAGAAAUUUUUAUUUAAGAUUUUUUUAUUUUUUUAAUAUUGCAAAAAUAUAUCGAAAGUUUGUACCAAAAAAUUAUAUCUAAAGAAAUUCAUAUGUUUUCAUUGAUAUUAUUAAAUAAUUACAAUUAUAAUAUAUAACAUUGUAUAUAGUGAAAAACAAGCGCGAGUACAAAGGGAUCCAUUAAAAAUUGAAAUAAAUGACUGACAAAUUAAGUUGAUAAUACUUUCUGAAAAAGAAAAUGACAUUGAAAUUUUGUUAUUUUAAAAUUUAUUGAAUUAUAUUUAUUUUAUUUUUAUGUUCAAUAUAUUUAAUGAUGUUAUGUACUUAACUUUUAAUAAUUAAUAACAUAUAUAAAAAACAUGUUAAAAAUAGAUGUACAAUUUAUACGAUAAAAAUAUAAUUAUCAUUUCGUCAGUUACUACUUUUGAUAGCAGAGCUAGUAAAAAACUAUUAAUUUUUAAAUUUAUUGUCAAAGCAUUAUCAUUUAAUUAAAACUAAAAAAAAUAUUUACACGAGAAUAAUAAGUUAUUCUAAUGUUAGUUUAGUAAUAUAAUGAGUAUUAUAGGAUUCUCUUUAAACUCUUAUUUUUAUGUUUACGUUUUAUGCUUUAUAUUGGGUUAAUUAUUUGUUUAUGUCAAAUUAUAAAACAAAAAUUUGAGGGUUAAAUAUGCUCUAAUUCUCUAUAGACUUUGCACAUUUAAAAUUUAGUCUCUACUUUUAAUUUUAAAAAUUUAGUUACUUUACUUUUCAUAUUUAAUAAUUUAGGUCUAGUUGUUACCAUCAUUAAAACCAUUUUUUUUUAAAUUUACUAGAAUGAUUGUAGGAUCAAAUUUUUAAACAAACCCAAACCUAGGCCUAAACAAAUUAACCACUAAAACAAAACCUAGCCCAAUACAAACACAAACCCACUAAACAAGCCCAAAACCAAUAAAGCAAAAAUGGGAAAUCCUAACUUGAGGAAUAGCAGCCGCAAGCAGUUCCCAGCAGCCGGAUCUUGCGCACCAUGUCGACACUCACGUCCAACACGCCUCGUGCCCCCGACUCCCUCGCACCCACGGCUCCCACGUCAGCCUUGCCUGCAGCAAAAAACAAUUAUAAAACAAGGCUAUAAAGCCUAAAAUAAACAAUAUAUUUGGAAACGGUUUUUUUCCCUAGAGACAGAGAACAAGCAAUAGCAAUCAAAGUGAGAUUCAAAGUUUAAGAGGUUACUUUUCAUUCUUUUACCAGACUUUUUUUUUCCCUUUUUAUUUUUUUUUCUUCUUUCAUAUUUUGAUAAAUCGAUUUUGAAUAAAACCAAAAGAAGAAGGCUUACUCGAUUUUGCUCCGUGAAGCGCCGAUAGAGGCAGAGGUGCAUGGCGCCGAUGACCCUCAGAUACGGAGCUAAACUUGGUUAAAUCUUUAGCAAGGCAAAAGGGGGUGGUUUUUUUUUUAAAUUUAAAGAUGCUAGAUGUAACUCUCUUGCAAGUUUUUACUUUAUAAGUUUAUAAAGUAGCACUGUUUGGUGCCUUGAUUUUUUGGGGAUUAUUUUGCAAUUGAUCCCUCCCUGUUACUCUAGCUUUUAAUUCGGACCCUUUUGAACUUUGGUUAAUUAUGAUUUGGCCCCAAAACUUAGAUUUUAUCGCAUUUUCGUCCUAUACCAAAACACUGCGCUUUGAAGGAUAAGAAAAUUUGCUUUCCUGGUCCUCCCUCUUAGCCCGUACGUUCAUUUUAGCCCAUGUGGCUUUUGUUUUCUAAAGUUCGCCCCGAAACUCCUGUUUCACUGCAAUUUAACCUUUUUUCCUUGCUCUUUUGUCAUUUUACCGCUGACUUAAUUAAUUUGAGCCUUAUUUUCAUUUUUUUUCUGUUAAUUUAAUUUGUUUGAGUUAUGUUUUACAUUAUUAUAUCAUUUUAUAUUAUAUGCUUAUUAUAGGUUUUUUUAGCAAAGUUAAUUAUUUUAUGUAUAAAUUUUAAUCAUAUUUAUAUAUUAUUUGUUAUAUUUUUUUUACUAAUAAGCAUUUUUAUACUAUUUAGUUUUUUUUAGGCUCAUAAUUUUAAAUAUAGUUUAUUAUACUUCUUAUUUUCUUCAUUAUUUUUACUAUUUACUACCAUUUUUUUGUCACUUAUAACUUAUAUAUAUACAUUUUUUCCCUAAAAGUUUUUUUUCCUUCAAAUAUAUUCUUUAAUGGACUUAUCAUAUUGUUUUUUUAUAUACACCAUUUUUUUAUCAGUUAUUUUAUACUAAAUUAUUAUUAUUUAUUACUCCUUACUAUAUAUUAUUAUUGAUUUCAUAUUGCUUGCUGUCCAUAUUCUUUAUAUAUAUAUGUAUUAUAUUUUAUUCAUACAUUUGUUUCUUUUAAAUCCCAUUUCAAAGUAUACCUCGGUCUUUAAAAUAUUUUCUUAUGUUAUUUUGCGUAUAUAUUCAAUUUAAAUUAUGCCUUUUACUUUAUAUGCAUAUCUUCUGAUCCUGUUAUGAUUUAGUCGUAUUAUAUUAUUGCAUUAGAUUAUUGUUAUAUAUUUCACAAUGGCAUACCUGUUUCCUUGUAUGGUAUAACAACUCAAAUUUAAACUCACUUAAGCCAGUUCUUAGUUUUUUCAUUUUUUCAAAAAUAAAUUAAAUAAAUACAUUUUUAAUUGACUUUAGAUCGUUUUCAAAAGUCUUAUAAAACAAGGCAAUGUUUCGCGUUUGGAAGUCCAAAAGAGUCGUGCCCUAACGUGCUGGGUUGUGGUUUUUUUCGGUGAUCUAAAUGUCUAAAUAUCCUUCUAGUCUCAGGUUUCAGAAAAUUAAGGGACUAUUUGGGUCUUGAGGGUUAAAAUGUUGUAUCCUAACGUGUUGGGUGUGACAUUUUGUCCUUUUGGAACAAAUAAGCCUUAAUAUCCCAAAACGAACCGUUCAAAUAUUUUCUAAAAGAAUUAUAUUUUAAAAUCUCUUAAAAUUUUCAACAAUAAGGACAUUAUUAAUCAAUUUGGUACCGAUUUUGGGUGUUACGAGAGUGCUAAUCCUUCCUCGUACGUAAUUGAUUCCCGAACCUGUUUUCUUAACAUUCUUAGACCAAAAUGCUUUAUAAGGUGGCCCAAUUACACCUCAAAAAGAAUUGGUGGCGACUCCAUCCAUGUUUUUAAAGUCGAUCAACGUUUUAAAAUUAAAAAUGGUUUCGACAGUUUGGCGACUCCACUGGGGACUUAAAGAGAGUCAAGCCGUAAAAUUGAUUAAUUUCUGUCCUUUUGUCGAAAAUGGAAAUUGUGUUUUGAAAUUAUGUUUUCUUCCGUCACAUUUGUUAGUAUCAUUUUUAUUUUCUCUUAUGUUAUUCCUGCAUCAUACUGCAUGUCCGUUGUCGCACCCUUAAGUGGGAGUGAGAAGCUAUGCCUUCGUGAGGUUUUCACCUCUGCAUGGGCUAGUGGGUUGCUUCCGGGAUACAUCCGUACCUAUGGUUUCGUGAGGUUUUCACCUCCGCAUGGCCAUAGGGAAAUGUAUCCCCCUGAACUGAACUCGAUCCAUAUGAGCCUAUAAUGGGUGAGGAUCAAGGAAUCUGCUGGUUCAGGUACCCUUUCCUUAGAACUGAACCGCAUAUAGUAACCCUUAGGGACCUACCCUAAGUAGAGCCAUGCCAAAUUCUAGUGAUUACCCAAAUAGGUUUUUGAUUAUUUCUUGCUUGCUUUGAUUUUUAUUAUUUGAUACUAACUUAUUGUGUUUUAUUUUUGCCAUGAUUGCAUGUCAUUUCAUAUUUAGGAAGGUGUCAAUACCUGUUCGAUUACUAAGUUAGAGAGCUUGUCAUGGAGAGUGGACUUCUUGAUAAAGUGGGGGAUAAUGUGGUUGUCCGUGCAUGGUCAGAGAAUGCUCAGCUCGAGAAAGGGGAUAGCUUGGCCGAGGGGUACGUGUCGAAAUUGUGGGACUUCACCCGUAUUAGUGUGACACAGAAUGAGCUCCAAGAAUUGAGGGAUAUAUGGGCCCGCUGGAAUGAUGAGACCAAGAAAUUGUUCUACUACAACUACGGUGAUCUGCCUUACCUGCUUGACAUUAAGGUAGACAAGUACUUGUUUCGAGCUAUGACUCAGUUCUGGAACCCCGCAUAUAGUUGUUUCACCUUCGGGAAAGUGGACUUGGUGCAACCGUGGAGGAGUAUUCAGCCCUGUUACGUUGUCCAAGGUUUCAAACGGAUAGAGUGUAUGUUAAGGUCCCCAAUGUACCGAGUUUUGUAAAGAAGCUAAUGAACGUCAUUGGGAUGAGUGAGCAGUGGGUUACAGCCUGGAUUCAACAAAAAGGUGAGGGGAAAUGCAUUCCUUGGGUGAACUUGAGAGACUUGAUCCUGGCACAUCCAGAUGCAAAGAAGAAGGUUGACGUUUUCGCCUUGAGUAUUUAUGGGUUAGUGAUCUUUCCCAAAGCAUUACGACAUAUCAACGAAGCAGUCAUUGAUUUAUUGGAUAGGCUUACCAAACAGGCUACACCGAUACCAGCAAUUCUAGCAGAGACAUUCAGAUCUUUAAAUGCAUGUCGAAGGGCAGGUGAGGGAAGAUUCGUGGGAUGCACGCAAUUAUUAUUGGUUUGGUUCUAUGGCCACUUCUGGAAAGUUCACAGAAUGCCGAAUCGAGUUUUUUUUGAAAAUUAUUCCCCUUUGAAGGAGAUAGCAGCUACGCCCAUGAGGGAUGACAUAUCAGAAGAAAGGUGGAUGACAAUUCUCCAAAAUCUCCAAGAAAAAGAUGUGGAAUGGAAGGCCCCUUGGAUGGUUCCCGAUGAAGUCCUCUACCGGUGCGGAAAUUUUGACUGGGUACCUCUGCUUGGAGUUUGGGGAGUUGUUGGGUAUGCCCCUUUGCUGGUGUUAAGGCAGUUUGAGUUAGAGCAGUUUGUACCUGCGACACAUGGGUUAGCUCAUAGUGAAUUUUUGUAUAAAGGGGAUAAUUAUAAGAAGAGAGUUCGAGAAAUCGCCGAUGCCUGGAAACAGACACACCGAAUGAAGAAGUUGACUAGAUGCCCAAUGACGACUCCUGAGUACAGUAGGUGGUUGAGUAAGAAGAUCAAUGAUAAUAUUCCGAGGCCAAGUCUAGAAGGCGUCCAAUCGAUGGAAGAACACUUACGAGUAAUUCCUUCCGAGCUGGAAAUUAUAAAACAAGACCUCAAAAGGAGAAAUUCAGAGUUAGGAAAGAAGAUAGAGCAGUUGGAGGAAGAGAAGAUGCAUCUAAGGUUAGAUAUUGACGUUCAGAAACUCGAGGCUGAGAAACUGCGAAAGGGGAAAAGAAAAGCUGAGGAGGACUUGGACGCUUUGAAGACUGAUUACCGGCAGCUACAUAAGUCAAUGAGAAAUGCUGGACUGGGAAAGAUAUCAGAGCAAUGGCGACAAGAGGUCCAAGAGGAAAGGUCUAAAGCCGAACAAUGGGAAAAAAGAUUUCAUGAUACUUGUGCACGAGAGAGCGUUUUAAAAAAGAGUUUGGUUGAAAGCCAGAAUGAAAAAGAAAUGUUAAGAGCUCGAGUAGAGGAGUUAGGGAUGGCGCUUCAUCAAUCUCGUAGUCGCAACUCUGCAGUAGAGCUGAAGGCAAGCUUAAACAGGAUCGAGGAUUUGAGAGGGAAGAUAGAAGAACUUGAGACCGAACUUCAGAACCGUGAACUUCAAAUUCAACUUCUUGAGUCAGAUAAUGAGCAUUGGAAAGAGCUGCUACAUAGAUCUCAGAACCAGGUCAGGGACAGAGAUUGCAUCAUGGGUGAGGCCGUGGCUCAGAUUCGAGAGGUAGCGGAGCAUUUGCAAACUCUAGCAGUUCAAGCUGACGUGUUAAGUAUAAAGUAUGAAUUAGAGUCAGAUCGAGGUCGAGAGCUAGCUGGGCUUCUCGAGAGAGUUAAAACUUUAGGCAUAAGGGCUAGGCCAUAUAUAUAACCCGUUUUAUGUAAAGUUUUCUGUUUUCUAAUAAAGUUAUUUUAAAAGAAAUUGAAUCAGAAUUGACGCCUUCUUAGUUUUGCAUUCAUUUCAUACAUUUACAUCACAUCGCAUCAUAUGUAUUAAGUUACACGAAAGAACCCUAUUAAUUAGUGAUAAUUUAUCUAGUUACCCUAGAACAUCGCUACUAUACACGGAGGAAAAUAAGGGAUAUGGAUCAGAGGUUAGAGAAAUUAGAACAAAUGCAGGAGCAACUGCAACCUCAGAUACAAGAACAGCUGGCUAGGAUCCAGCAGGAGAUGAAGGAUCAAAUGCUAGAGUCCUAGAAAAACAUGCUGGAGUCACAGAACAACAUGAUGAGCCAGCUAACACAGCUGUUAAAGGGGGGUCUGACAAAGGAAAAGGCCCUAUGAGUGAUAGUGGGGACGACAAUGAAGACUCCACAUAUCCUCCUAGAUUAGCCCCAGCAAGUGCCCAACCACCCAAGGUGUCUGUUAAUAUUAGACCUCAGUAUCAAUUUGGUACUUCAGCGCUAGGAAAUCUCCCAACAAGCUCAAGUUCUAAUCCGGGCGAUAAUUUGGCAAAACCAACUGUCCCCGACCUCGAAGAUGUUGAAGAAAAGGAAAAAGCAAGGGCUGAGCUCCCAAAACAGUUCGAAGACCGUUGCAAGUGGUUAGAGGAGAGGUUCAAGGCAUUAGAAGGUAUAGAUUAUUAUUGCGGGGUUGAUGCUAAGGAAUUGAGUUUGGUACCGGACUUAGUACUCCCUCCAAAAUUCAAGAUGCCGAAAUUUGAAAGGUAUAAUGGAACCAGCUGCCCGGAGGCUUACAUUACAAUAUUCUGCUGGAGAAUGACGGGGUAUGUCAACAAUGAUCAGCUGUUGAUUCACUGUUUUCAGGAUAGUUUGAUUGGGGCUGCGGUGAAAUGGUACAAUCAGUUAAGUUGUACCCAAAUCAAAUCGUGGAAAGACUUAGCUCAGGCCUUCAUGAAGCGAUAUGGCCAUGUAACAGAUAUCGUACCUGACAGGAUCACGUUACAAAACAUGGAGAAGAAACCGGGUGAAAGUUUUAGGAAGUACGCCCAGAGGUGGAGGGAAGUUGCCACACAAGUUCAACCACCACUGCUGGAAAAAGAAACGACCAUUCUAUUUGUCAAUACAUUGAAGGCACCUUUCAUCAAUCAUAUGCUGGAAAGCACAAUUAAAAGUUUCGCAGACAUAGUGAUGUCAGGCAAAAUGAUAGAAAAUGCGAUAAGAUGUGGGGAGAUAGAAACGGGGGAAAGCACAAGAAGGUCAGCCCCAAAGAAAAGAGAAAAUGAGGUAGGUAAUGUGAGCUCAGGGUAUUCAAAACCUGUCACGGACGAUAGUCACAGGCCAACAGGCCGCACCAAGGCGAGAGCCUAAUACAAGGUAGAAUACAGAGAGGUUCCAGUUCACUCCCAUACCAGUGACAUAUAGGGAGCUCUACAAAAAGUUAUUUGAUGCACACGUAGUGGCCCCUUUCCACUUAGAAUUGUUACAACCCCCAUACCCUAAAUGGUAUGAUGCAAAUGCUCAGUACCCUAAAUGGUAUGAUGCAAAUGCUCAGUGCGAAUACCACGUAGGGAUUACGGGGCACUCGAUAGAAAACUGUACCUCGUUCAAAAGGUGUGUAGAAAGGCUUAUCAAAGCAGGUGUUGUAAAAUUCGAUGAUACACCUGGUACGGGAAAUCCGUUGCCUAGUCAUACUGAUAAAGGGGUAAACACGAUAAUUGAGAAUAUGGGGAGGAAAGUCAAGCUGAAUAUCGCUGAGGUGAGAACCCUAUUAAAGCUAGUUUGCAAGGAAAUACAGAAGAGAGGUUUAGUCCCGCAGGGGUUGAGGGAUAAAAUCCAAGAUACACGGAACUACUGUGAGUUCCAUCAUGAGAAAGAUCACGAGAUCCAGAAUUGUAUUGAGUUCAGGGCCCUAGUACAGGGUCUAAUGGAUAAUAAGGAAUUAGAGUUCCUCGAGUCUGUCGAGAUGAGGAUGUAUGCUCUCUAGGAGGAGAGUCGAGUGAAGAAGGCUGCAGAGCCAGCCGUCCAGUGAUAAUUAUUUUGAGGCCCAGAGUUAGUGAAGUAGAAGCAAGAGUUACACCAAGAGUUAUAAUCCAGAAGCCAACAGUUUCCCCUUAUAAAGAUAGUCAUAGAGUGCCUUGGAAUUAUAAUUGUAGUAUAGCAGUUGCAGAGAAGGAGGGUUCGAUUAACACGCCAAACACAGAAGUCGAACCAGCAAAAGGGAAACCCGUCAUGCUCAAGCAAGAAGUAGAGAGAUCAGAACCACUGGUUAAUGAGCCAGUAAUAGAAAAUGAAGCCAAAGAGUUCUUGAAGUUCCUAAGACACAUCGAGUAUAGUGUUGUGGAACAACUACACCAACAACUGGAUCGCAUAUCGAUAUUGGCUCUGCUGUUAAAUUCGAAGGUCCACCGCAACGUAUUGAUGAAAGUGUUGAACGAAACUUAUAUUGCGGAUGACAUUUCGAUUAACAAACUGGAUCCUCUUGUCGGCAACAUAAGUGUUGAAAAUUUCAUCUCCUUUAGCGAUGAUAAGAUACCAUCAAGGGGUAGGGGGUCUACUAAGGCUCUGCAUAUCACUACACGUUGUAAGGGGUAUACGCUACCCGGAGUACUAGUUGAUAAUGGGUCCGCAUUGAAUGUAUUGCCUUGGGCUACGUUAAACCGUUUACCUAUAGACAAUUCCCAUAUGAAGACGUGUCAGAACAUAGUAAGAGCAUUUGAUGGCACAGAAAGAAAAGUAAUGGGAAUGAUAGAGGUACCUCUUCAGAUUGGCCCAAACGCGUACGAGGUAGAUUUCCUCGUGAUGGAUAUUAAGCCUUCCUAUAACUGUCUAUUAGGAAGACUUUGGAUUCACUCAGCUGGGGCAGUGCCAUCCUUGCUGCAUCAGAAGUUAAAGAUGGUUACUGAGGGUCGGCUAAUAACAAUAAAUGCGGAGGAGGACAUUAUUGUGUCAGUUACCAGUGAUGCACCCUACGUAGAGAAUGACAACGAAGCGAUUGAAUGUUCAUUUCGAUCGUUAGAGUCUGUAAUUGUAAUGUUUAUAGCUGAAGGAAGUAGGAUUCCGAUACCUAAGAUGUCAGGGGCUACGAAAAUGAGCCUGCAGCUGACAGUUGGGAAAUGGGCGUUACCUGGCAAAGGACUCGGGAGGCACCUCCGUGGACAAGUUAGAGUGCCAGUCUUGGUUGGAUAGUGGGAUCGCUUCAGUUUGGGAUUUAGGCUAGAUGCAAGCCAAGUGAAGAAGGAGUUUGAAAGGAAACAGGAACAGCGGAGAGCAAGAUUGAGUGGGACAGAAGUCAGGUAGGAACCGAUGAGCUUCCCCCAUAUUUUCCAAACAUUUGUAUCUGGAGGGUUUAUUCAUUCUGCACCGGAGAGGAUAAAAGAAGGAAUGGUCGAGGAUGUGAUAGGAAUUUGGAACAUCAACGCCACGUUUGAAGAGGAAGCAAUGGAAAGAAAUUUAUCGGGCAUUUGCCCGUACGAGCCUGGGAGUGUUUUGAAUAACUGGACUGUGGAAGAAAUUCCUGUAAUCUUUAGAGCUAACAUAGGGUAAUAUUCAAAACCCACUUGUUGUCUUCUAGCCUAGGGACAAUAAGAAUCUUUUGUGAAAUAGGCUCAUGUCCAAACAUUAUUAUUUUCAAUAAAAAAUGCAUUUUCAUAUAUCAGUUUGAGCAAUUAUUUUUUCUUCCUUUUCAUUUCAUACACAAUCAUAACAUAUAAAGGAAUUAUUCAUUUCAUUUUCUUUGGGUAUUCUCUUAUACUCAUAAUAGGCCCCCGGAUGUCAACGUCAUGAGUAAUGCUGAUACGAGCCCGGAAUUCCCUUUUGAGCGAGACAUGUGUUUUGAGGGACUUCAAGAUUUUGAAGAGGAUGAGGAUUGUGGUUUAUCUCCCGAUUUGUUAAGGAUGGUGGAGCGAGAAGAGGAGCAGAUCCUGCCACACAAAGAGACUACUGAGAUUGUGGCCCUGGAAAAGGGGAGGGAAGUUAAAAUUGGCACUUUCGUUAACGAGAAAACAAGACAGAACCUUAUUGAGCUAUUGCAAGAAUUCAAGGACGUCUUUGCAUGGUCAUAUUAGGAUAUACCUGGUUUAAGUACCGAUAUCGCAGUACACCGUGUCCUUACAAAAAAGGAGUGCAAGCCAGUUCAGCAGAAGCUCCGAAGGAUGAGACCCGAGGUAGCAAUAAAAAUAAAGGAAGAAGUCAAGAAGCAGUUUAAUGCUGGAUUCCUACAGGUGGUCAAUUAUUCAGAAUGGGUGGCCAACGUCAUCCCUGUCCCUAAGAAAGAUGGGAAAGUACGGAUGUGUGUAGAUUACAGAGAUUUAAAUAAGGCCAGCCCAAAGGAUAACUUUCCAUUGCCUCAUAUAGACACUCUAGUGGAUAAUACGACAGGCUAUUCACUGUUCUCCUUUAUGGAUGGGUUCUCCGAGUACAAUCAGAUUAAGAUGCAUUCUAAGGAUAUGGAAAAAACUACAUUCAUAACUUUAUGGGGAACGUUUUGCUACAAAGUGAUGCCCUUCGGGUUGAAAAAUGCAGGAGCCACAUACCAAAGAGCCAUGGUAACCUUGUUCCAUGACAUGAUGCACAAGGAAAUUGAGGUCUACGUUGACGACAUGAUUGCAAAAUCUCGAACUGAAGAGGAGCAUGUGCGAGUGUUGAGAAAAUUGUUCUUGAAGUUGAGGAAAUUCCAAUUAAAGCUCAAUCCGUCAAAAUGCACCUUCGGAGCUAGGUCCGAAAAGUUACUCAGCUUCGUAGUCAGUGAGAAGGGAAUAGAAGUCGACCCUGAUAAAGUCAAGGCUAUUCAGGAGCUGCCACUGCCACAAACUCAGAAAGAAGUCCGAGGUUUCCUAGGGAGACUAAACUAUAUCGUACGGUUUAUUUCGCAGCUGACUGAGAAGUGUGACCCCAUAUUUCGUCUUCUUAAAAAGCAUAAUCCUGGGGUAUGGGAUGAUGAAUGCCAAAAAACCUUUGAAAAGGUUAAACAAUAUUUGUCCUGUCCCCCAGUGUUAGCACCGCCAAGCCCUGGUAGACCAUUGAUACUGUACUUAACAGUAUUUGAUAAUUCGAUGGGGUAUGUGCUCGGCCAACACGAUGAGACUGGGAGAAAAGAAAGAGCGACAUAUUACCUCAGUAAAAAAUUCACUGAGUGUGAAAUGAGGUAUCCGCCAAUUGAGAAGCUAUGCUGUGCUUUGGUUUGGACAACACGAAGGUUGAGGCAAUACAUGUUGUACCGUACAACUUGGCUAAUCUCAAAGCUAGACCCUCUCAAAUACAUGAUGGAAUCAACCGCUUUAAAUGGAGGGAUGGCCCGAUGGCAGAUUCUGCUCUCCGAAUUUGAUAUAGUCUAUGUAAACCAAAAAGCUGUGAAGGAGAGUGCAAUAGCAGACUUCCUAGCCAGUAGAGCUCUGGAGGACUAUGAACCUUUGAAUUUUAGUUUCCCCAAUGAAGAUCUAAUGUAUGUAGCAAUCGCUGAAGGAGACAUGUCUGAAGAUCAUUCUUGGAAAUUAAAUUUUGACGGAGCAUCAAAUGCCGUUGGAAAUGCAGUUGGGAAAGUACUAAUAUCCCAAAAUGGAGACCAUUAUCUAUUCACUUGCAAGCUGGAUUUUGACUGCACAAACAACAUGGCAGAAUACGAGGCAUGUAUCAUGGGAAUUCGGGCAGCUAUAGGCCGCGAAAUCAAAGUAUGAGAAGUGUGUGAAGAUUCUGUAUUGGUAAUUUAUCAGCUUAAAGGCGAGUGGGAAACAAGAGAUCCCAAAUUGAUCAGUUACCGAAAGUUAAUCUUGGAGUUAAUUGAAGAGUUUGAUAAUAUUACCUUUCAUUACCUCUCGCGAGACGAGAAUUAGAUGGCUGACGCCUUGGCUACAUUGGCUUCCAUGAUCAAAGUAAAUGAACAGGAAGAUAUGAAGCCAAUUCAAAUGAGUAUCUGUGAGGCUCCGGCUCACUGCUGUAAUGUUGAUGAAGAGGAAGAGAGAGAUGAUCAUCCUUGGUAUCAUGAUAUCUUACAAUAUGUGAAGAGCCGUGCGUACCCAGAUCAAGCAACCGAAAAUGAUAAAAGAACAUUGAGGAAGUUACCCAGUGACUAUGUCCUGGACGGUGAGGUCCUAUAUAAAAAAGAAAGGAUUAGGUGUUGCUAAGAUGUGUUGACGCUGUUGAGGCAAAGAAAAUUCUAGAGGAAGUCCAUGAUGGCAUUUGUGGGACACAUGCUAAUGGUUUUACAAUGGCUCGACAAAUCAUGAGAUUCGGAUAUUACUGGUCCACAAUGGAAGGAGAUUGCAUCAAUUACGCUAAGAAGUGCCUUAAGUGUCAAAUUUAUGGAGACAAGAUCUAUGUGCCUCCUUCACCCCACCAUGUUAUGACUACCCCAUGGCCAUUCUCAAUGUGGGGUAUGGACGUCAUUGGGCCAAUUUCGCCAAAGGCUUCCAACGGACAUCGAUUCAUUUUUGUGGUCAUUGACUACUUUACCAAAUGGGUGGAGGCUACUUCGUACGCCAAUUUCACAAAGUUGGCGGUCAGCAAGUUCCUGAAGAAGGAGAUCGUAUGUCGUUAUGGUAUGCCAGAAAGAAUCGUAUCUGACAAUGCAUUGAAUCUGAACAAUAGCGCAAUAGUAGAAGUCUGCAGUCGGUUCAACAUUAAACAUCACAACUCGUCGCCAUACCGCCCAAAAAUGAAUGGGGCGGUUGAGGCAGCUAAUAAGAAUAUCAAGAAGAUUGUAGGGAAAAUGGCGGAGACCUACAAAGAUUGGCAUGAAAAGCUCCCAUUUGCCCUUUAUGCUUAUCGGACAUCUGUCAGAACUUCUACUGGGGCAACACCUUUCUCAUUGGUUUAUGGGAUGGAGGCAGUUUUACCUAUUGAGGUCGUAAUCCCUUCUCUCCGAGUUUUAUCAGAGUUGAAGUUAGACGAAGCAGAAUGGAUCCAAUCUCGUUACGAUCAACUAACUUGGUUGAAGAGAGGAGGUUGAAAGCUAUUCAUCAUGGUCAAAUGUACCAGAGGAGAAUGAUGCGAGCCUACAACAAAAAAGUUCGCCCUAGGGUGUUCCAUGAAGGGGACUUAGUAUUGAAAAAGAUUCUCCCUAUGCAAAAAGAUUUCAGGGGGAAAUGGAUGCCAAAUUGGGAAGGACCUUAUGUGGUAAAAAAGGCUUUCUCUGGAGGGGCAUUGAUACUAGUAGAGAUGGAUGGCAAGAGCUUGCCUAACCCGAUAAAUUCAGAUUCUGUCAAAAGAUAUUUUGCUUGAAGCAGUUGAGGUGAAAACCCGUAAAGGGCGCCAAAAAAAAAGGGAGAGGCCAGGGUGAAAACCCGUAAAAGGGCGCAUUGAGACCAAAGGGACUUUGAAUUGAAAACCCACAAAGGGCAAUUCAAAAAUUGAUCCAGACUGGGGCAAGUAGCAGUCUCGUUACACUAGAAUCGACAAAGAAGGGAUGGGCUACAUCUUGGGGCAUCGACAAAAUGCUAUAGAUCCCUUGAGCACAUGUCAAGUGUAGAAUGGUCUUCGACUAGUUCGUUAGAGAAGCUCAAACUGCGGAAUCUGGGGCACCUAUUUGUUCUUUUUAUCCAUUUUUGUAUUUCAAAUAAUCAAUGCUUUCUUUCUUUAGUACAUCUUUCGUGAACUAGGACUCGAAUAAAUUUCAGUUCCAUUUACCCUUAUGAUCUUUUUCAAGCGUUUUAUAUUGAAAUAAUGAUUAAUGAACUAACAAUGUUCUCAAAACAGGUUUUACGUAUUACUCUGAAAGAUUUCUAAACAAUACAAGAUCCUGAAACAGGGCAAUUAUUUAAAACUCACCAGGCUUAAAGAGCUAGAAACGUGUGGAGGAAAAGGGACUUACAAUAUCCUCAAGCUGGAUGAGAAGGCAUACGUCGGGGAUGUUACUAUAGCAAACAGCGAGCGAUGAUAGCCUAAAAAUUAAAAUGAUCAUUCUCAUGACAUUUUGCAUUUAUGCAUUUAAAUAUCCAUAAUACAUCUAGUUAGGAGCAUUUGAUUAAUCAUGACAUCCUAAACAUCUAGCAUAAGCAUAAAAUCACUUUUCUACAGAUAGGAUCCCCCAGUGGACAAUGUAGCAGGAUUGAUUAAAAAGACAGAUAUCAUCAGCCUUAUCUUCACUUAGCAGGAGUGAAGCGGGCUAAACAUACCCGAUCUUAUCUUCACUGAGCAGGAGUGAAGCAGAUCAAAUUUUGGCGAGUCUUAUCUUCACUGUGUAGGAGUGGAGCAGAUUUCAGCCACCAGUCUUAUCUUCACUGAGCAGGAGUGGAGCAGAUUUCAGCCACCAACCUUAUCUUCACUGAGUAGGAGUGGAGCAGGCUAAACAUACCCGAUCCUUUCUUCACUGAGCAGGACUGAAGCAAAUCAAAUUUUGGCGAGUCUUAUCUCCAUGUAUCGGCAAUGGAGCAGAUUCUAAUCAUCAGCCUUAUCUUCACUGAGUAGGAGUGAAGCAGGCUAAGUAUAGCAGAUCUUAUCUUCGCUGAGCAGGAGCGGAGCAGAUCGAAUUUUGAUGAAUCUUAUGUCCCUGUACUAGCGAUGGAGCAGAUUCCAAUCAUCAGACUUAUCUUCAAUGAGCAGGAGUGAAGCAGGCUAAAUAUAUCAGAUCUUAUCUCCACUGAACAAGAGUGGAGCAGGUCAGAUACAAUGGAUCUUAUCUUCGCCGAGCAGGAGUGGAGCAGAUCAAAUUUUAGCAAAUCUCAUUUACAUGAAGCAGCAAAUGAGCAUUUUUGAAGCAAUAAAAUGCGGUGGGCUGUGGCAAAAAAGACAAGACUCAGCCAGCCCAAGUAAAUUUGGUCCUCCUAAAAUCUUUGCUCUAUUCUCAUUACACGACAAUGAGCAAAGAGGGGCAGCUGUAGGACCAAAUUUUUAAACAAACCCAAACCUAGGCCUAAACAAAUUAACCAUUAAAACAAAACCUAGCCCAAUACAAACACAAACCCACUAAACAAGCCCAAAACCAAUAAAGCAAAAAUGAGAAAUCCUAGCCUGAGGAGUAGCAGCCGCAAGCAGUUCCCAGCAGCCGGAUCUUGUGCACCAUGUCGAAACUCACGUCCAACACGCCUCGUGCCCCCAACUCCCUCGCACCCACGGCUCCCACG